RNAcentral lists this small RNA (557 nucleotides) under Pan troglodytes (chimpanzee). RNAcentral describes it as "sense intronic". Lineage: Eukaryota; Metazoa; Chordata; Mammalia; Primates; Hominidae. The record is from RNAcentral.
UUUUUUUUUUUUUUUGCUUGUGCUCAUUAAAUAGCAAGGGUCAUCUGUCAGGAUGUUGUGGUGGUGUGCGAUCAGAGCAGAGGGCCUUUCUUUUCCUGUACUGUGCUCUACUUCCUUAUGCAUGCUUGGUUUCAAAGAUAACCGCCACUUUAAAAGAAAGAUUUCCUCACAGCUCUCCAGAGAACUAUCAUACUAAGGUGAUAGGAAAGGCUUCUCGGAUACAAGCCAACAAGUCAGUUUUCUGAUUACAGAAACUCCUCUCACAGGUUAUGUUUGGAAAGGCUGUUCUCCAUUCCACUUAUAAAUUGAAAGUGAUAAGCUACUGUCUUGUGAUCUUGCAGGGUCAGUGGUUGACUCACUCAUCUCUGAAAGGUAACUUUGUUCAUAUCUAUGUAUUUUCAAACCUGGAAGCUUGUAAAUUGGAAGUUUCAGUAUUAGCUUUAUUAUUCUUUCUUGGUGAGGAAUAGAAAUGGCAGCAAAAAGAAAGCCAACAAUCUGAAAACUCCAGUCUCCUCUAACACUGGCUUUGUUUUAAAUCAAGACGGGAAGAGAUACAU